CCUACGUGAGGCAGCAGUGGGGAAUAUUGGGCAAUGGGCGCAAGCCUGACCCCGCAACGCCGCGUGAAGGACGAAGGCUUUCGGGUUGUAAACUUCUUUUCUCAUGGACGAAGAAAGUGACGGUACCUGAGGAAUAAGCCACGGCUAACUACGUGCCAGCAGCCGCGGUAAUACGUAGGUUGCAAGCGUUAUCCGUAUUUACUGGGUGUAAAGGGCGUGUAGGCGGGGAAGCAAGUCAGAUGUGAAAACCACGGGCUCAACCGGGGGCCUGCAUUUGAAACUGUUUUUCUUGAGUACUGGAGAGGCAGACGGAAUUCCUAGUGUAGCGGUGAAAUGCGUAGAUAUUAGGAGGAACACCAGUGGCGAAGGCGGUCUGCUGGACAGCAACUGACGCUGAGGCGCGAAAGCGUGGGGAGCAAACAGGAUUAGAUACCCGAGUAGUC
This 443-nucleotide ribosomal RNA is filed under the name uncultured bacterium. RNAcentral's name for it is "partial 16S ribosomal RNA". It matches the Rfam family "Bacterial small subunit ribosomal RNA", at positions 338 to 795 of the family's 1533-position model. The record is from RNAcentral.